Molecule: long non-coding RNA, 2021 nt
Filed under: Homo sapiens (human)
Lineage: Eukaryota; Metazoa; Chordata; Mammalia; Primates; Hominidae
Description: HSALNT0362377
Source: RNAcentral
AGAAUUCGGAACUGCUGUCAGAAAUUACAUUAUAAUAAUUAUCAUCAAUAUCAUUUUCUUUAUCACUAUUAUCAUUGUGAUCAUUGUUGUCAGAAUUACAAAUACACCUCUGUUCCAUAAUUUUGCUAAAUGGAAAUUUAAAAUACAUACACUUACAGAGUCAAGCAUAUUUUUCAUGUACAAAGAGGAUUAAUGAAGAGAUGAUGGGGAAGAAAGUGUAAAUCUAUAGAAUGUAUUCAUGUUUUGAGGUAUAAUGUGAAAAUUUAGCUUUGAAAGAAAGCAAUAAAAUUUGCGUUUUGUAAUUUAUACCUAGUUCGACACCCUCUGGGCCAGGACAAGGAACAGAUGCUGUCAAUACAAAUUGCAUCACUUUCAAAUUUAACAUAUUAUCAUCACAGAAUGCUACUUUUUUCAGUCUGAACUUGUAUCCUAGGUAUAUGAAAUAUUAUCUGUUCAUAGAACUUUUUCCCAAUUUGAAUAUAAAUGUACACCAGACCUGUGAUGGAUGAUUAUAGACCUCAUUUUCCUUCUCAGAAAAAAAUAAUUAGUAUUUCUCUUUUGCAAAAAGCAGGAACCAUUCAAAAUUUUACCUAAGAUAGGCAAACUUGUGAUUUAUAAUGUAUAUGUGUUUGUGUAUAAUAUUGAAUUACAGUAGAUUAAGCAGAGUAGUGUGCAUGCAUUUUACACAGCAUUUAAUUGAUAUUCAAAAUAUUUCUUAGAUGAAUGAAUGAAUGCACUCUGAAAGCAUUAGUCUACUUCAGCAGUUUUUGUUAGCAAUUAAGAGAUUGUUCUCCCUGAAGACAUUUAUACUUAAUGUAUAUUUUAAAAAUAGUAUGACACAUUUUUUCAAAUGAAAAGUGUUGUAUGUAUGUGUACAAUUACUUUUUUUAUUAGCUUCCUAAAUAUGAUUCUGCCCAAUAUUUAAUUGCUUCAGUCUUGUAUUCAAAACAUGAAUGAAACAUUCUAAUUUGACAUCCAGGUUUUCAAAAUAACUAAUAGGAAACUUGAAGUAAAGCAACACCUCUCUAAGCUUUGAAUCAUUUUCUACCAAUACUAUUUUCUUAAAAUUAUGUAUUUUAAAAAAUUAAUGGACAGGUAAACAUGGAGCUAAAAUGUUCCCUUUGGAUUUGCAGGCAAUUAUUUCGACUUGCAUCAUGAGAAAAUAAAACACCUUCACACAUGAAAAUGAUUAAGUUUGAAACAAUUGAAAUUUAUGAAGUAUACAUUAAAAAUAAAUGUUCUCGUUCCUCAGAGAACAAAACAUUUUGUUGGUUCCUGGAGUUUCUCUUUCUAAAUUAAGGUUGCUACCAUUUAACUGUCUCAUUUAUUCACUUACAUAUGGGAUUCUUUGAGAAAUCUAAGAUUCACUGAUGUCUUAACAAAUACAGGUGGGUACAUUAUGGAUGAGCGCACAUGUUGAAAUCUAAUAUAGUUUCACUUGGAACUUAUAUUAGAUUCAUUUAGUUUUGGAUACCAAAAAAUAAAUCUUUUAAUUCAUGUCUCUUCAUUUCCCCCAUAUAUUUGCCCCUUCUAUAUAUGACUGACAUAGAAGAUGAAGCUGAAAAUUUACAAUUUCAAGAUAUUCUUAGAAGAUAUCUGGUCUACUUUUUUGAGCUGUUAACAUUUUUCUGAGAGUUAACUUUUCUUGGGAAGAAAUGAAGUGGAAAUAUGGUUGCUGCCUAAGAAGUAAUAAUAGGAGAUACAGGAAGCAGUUUGAAAUGGAAUAGAAACAACUUGUGAUAGAGGACAGAAGCCAUAUCAGAAGUCACGGAAUUAAUUAUGUGAGUCUGGGAUCAGUGAGAGAUGAAAAUUGAGAAGAAAGAAAACUGUAAGACUCUGUGACUUGAAAAAUCCAGGAGAGACAGGCAACUGAAUUGCUACAUUGUAUUUUCUCUUAAACCCAAGAAAAUUCCCUGUGUUAGAACAACUUGAAUGAAAAGAAGAAUAAACAGGUGUCCAACAAUAACAUUUCCAAGAUAGGAAGAAAGCGAGGGUUCAAAACGGAGAAGAUGAAGCUGAAA